CACUGCCUGCCCCAGUGACAAUAGUUUAAAACGGCCGCGGUAUCCUGACCGUGCAAAGGUAGCAUAAUCAUUUGUUCCUUAAAUAGGGACUUGUAUGAAUGGCCACACGAGGGUUUAACUGUCUCUUACUUCCAAUCAGUGAAAUUGACCUUUCCGUGAAGAGGCGGAAAUAUACAAAUAAGACGAGAAGACCCUAUGGAGCUUUAAUUCACUUAAUCCAACAGAAUAACAAUUCACUCCAUCAAGGAUUAACAAAUAUUCUAACUGGGUUAAAAAUUUCGGUUGGGGUGACCUCGGAGCAUAAAAUAACCUCCGAGAAAUAUUUACUAAGACUAACAAGUCAAAGUGCUAUUCCACAAAUUGAUCCAGUCCUACUGAUCAACGGAACAAGUUACCCUAGGGAUAACAGCGCAAUCCUAUUUUAGAGUCCCUAUCGACAAUAGGGUUUACGACCUCGAUGUUGGAUCAGGACAUCCCAAUGGUGCAGCAGCUAUUAACGG
RNAcentral lists this ribosomal RNA (500 nucleotides) under Sorex cinereus (cinereus shrew). RNAcentral describes it as "partial 16S ribosomal RNA". It matches the Rfam family "Bacterial large subunit ribosomal RNA", at positions 1853 to 2571 of the family's 2925-position model. Lineage: Eukaryota; Metazoa; Chordata; Mammalia; Eulipotyphla; Soricidae. The record is from RNAcentral.